GUCCCGUCCUAAUAUUCUAUGUUCAGAGGACAAGUAUUAAUUAAGCCCCCCACCUUUCUCUUUUAUUUAUACCCAAAAUGAAAACCCAUCCUCUACAUCUUCUAAAAUCCCUAACAUCGACUCCUCCAAAGGCUGCCGACGGCUGAAGAUUUACAAACUGGAACACAUGAGUUGUUAAUCUGAGCAGACAGGUGUGGAUUUGGUGGCUGAGCUUGUGGUGUGACUUUGGGUCCAAAAGGAAGGAAUGUACUGCUUGGAAAUAAGUAUGGCUCUCCCAAGAUUGUGAAUGAUGAUGAAACUUUUCUUAAAGGGGUACAUUACAAGCACUAACAUUAUUGUUAUAUGUUUAAAUUUGAUGGGGACUCUGUUAUUUUGGUGUUUAAACAAAACAAAUGGCUUGGAAAUUCAUGCAACUUAGAAUAUAUAAAUGAAAAGCUAUUCCAAUGUUGUCAAAUUACAAAAAUAAAGAACUUGAAAGAAUGAUACUUAGAGUGUAACCAUUAAAGGAGCUCAUCUUAUGUUGUGUGUGGUCCAAAAUGACGAGGAAACUAGAAUAAGUAUCUAUGAUUUGUGCCUCGGAAUCGUUUGCCUGUCCCCUCUUUCAUACUUGUGUAAAUUGGUAGAUUCUAUUGUGAUUAUUUCUCAAAGUAGUUUAAUUGCCAUCGGUGUUAUUUAUUUAUUCCUUCUUUUUAGAUAAAGAGUUGCUUUUGAUUUCUGAGGAUAGAGAAAUAAAUAUUUAGACAUUGUCCAUAUUCAGGUUAUAAUUGUCUUCAAGUCCACUGGAAUAUAGACGGUGCACUACUUAAAAAAUCAAUUCAUUCUACAUAGUAAAAGUUACUAGUGUUGUAAGUUUGAUUUUCCAUAUGUCAAGUCUUCUCGACUCUUUCUGAGGCCUGCAAAUGAUGUUCUUCCAUCCUCCUACUUCUGCAUUUUCCAUCUAUUUUAGUUAAUUGUCCCCUUCUUUUACUUUUUUCUUCAAAAAUGUGAUGCACACCUUAAGCCUAAUUGGAUUACGAUAUAAACCAGGUAUGUAACGAAAAGUUAUAAACGGAGUAUAUCCAUGUAGUAAUUGUAUAUAGGUUUCUGAAUGCUGAUGGAAGACACCGAUUGUAAGGUAGCCACUGCUUCUGUUAAGAACUAGUACCUGUUGUAUAUCAAGGUAUUUAUAGGGCAUAAAAAUUUAAUGUUGCACUUGCUUUUGGUUGAUAAAAUAAUUACAAACCCGAAGGAGUUGGUAAAAAUUUGGACAAUGCAGUAAAGGAGAAAUACCUAGUUUUCAUAAUCGCAGAGGGCAUUGAGGGGGGUGCACUGGCUCCAGUAAUAAGGAACAAACUCAGGGGUGUCCUAAAUAUAGUUGCAAUUAAAGCUCCAUAUUUUGGAGAGCGCAACGCUAUCUUGACCGGAGGUAGUGACAUAUAAAUAGUAAAACUAGAAAUUAUUAGUUACAUAUAUCUGCCACCUCGUUUCUUUUGGUGUCUCCAAAACUGUCGGUCAUUGAAGCCAGUGUAAUGGUUUACUAAAAGAUGUUAUGGCUAAAAGCUUCAGUCUUCUUCAUGGGUGAACGAACAGAACUAUAUGCAGGGGGUUUAAGGGCUGCUCCAAAAGGAAGGAAAGUAUUUCUUGGAUAUAAGUAUGAUCCUCCCUUAGUUUAGUUACUGCUAAGUUGGUAACACCUGAAAUUAGUUUAGGUACUUCAUUUGGAUGUUCAAUUAAAUGCUAGUGGUCUCUUGUGGGAAUCAUAUGGUUUAUUGCAUUAUUGAUUUACAUCAAGAUGAGUUCAGAAUAUAGUUUAUAGCUAAGGAUAUCAUCAACAGGUUAGAGUAAAGGAUUUAACUUGUGGAAAUAGUGUAUCACUAUACACUUAACUUGUCUAUUUUAUUUGCACUUGUUAUACACUUUUGCUUUCAAUUUUGUCGGUAUCCUGGUGCUCUUCAAAAUAGCCACGAGUGAAACAUGUUAGUUAGAAACAAGAGAUAUUGUGCAUUAACUUUAUACUUAUGUAUGUCUUCUUUUAGUCUUAGCUCUAUAUGUUCUCUUAUUUUAGAUGAUCUUUUUGAAUUCUUGCGAUGUCCUUGAGUUCCUUCAGUUUUAUUGUUUUGUGUUAUGGGUUACAUAACAGGAGCACAUACAGUAGUACAUAAAAUGAAGCGAUGCUUCUCUAUAGUACUCGUUCUUUACUCUGCAAUUCUAUUGAUCAGUUAUAGUUGUCUAAACUUUUCUUGGUCGAUCAAAAAAGAUAAAUUGUACCAGUCUUUCAUCUCUCUAGACAUGUCAUGAUUGAUCAAAAUUUCUAGAUGUGCUGCAAUUACUAGUAUACGUUAAGGCAAAGAGUACAUUUGUAUGCGCACUGUGGGAUUUAACUCGGUAUGUUGUUGUUGUUGUUGAUUAAUAUGUACACUUAUGGAUAAGGCCAGUAUGAUAGGGAAUGCGAGGUCAUCCAAUAAACUUCUCUUCUGAAGUAAAUGUAGCAUUGCAUCAGAAAACAAAUUGAUUGCUUAAACUAAUGUUAUCAGCCAUUCAAAUGGAACGGCAUGUCACAGGAGGCUCGAAUGUUAACGUAGCUGUUGAAACUUUGGGAAAUCCAAAAACAUUCGUGCAAUGCAUACAGAGUGUUCGUAAUGGAGACAAUGCUGCAAUGAUUUGACUUAAACUAUAUGGUGCUAAGGUGGAUGUGCAUAUAAACCACUUAGUGCGACGAUAGUUUCUGGAGACUUAGAGCAUACAAAAUGGAGAUGCAAGAUCUGAAGAAUCCAUACAACUUGCCAGUAGAUUAUCAUUUUACUAGGACUGUUAGGAGAAAGCAUAUCUUAUUCUCUAAGGAUGAUACAUAUUUUUGGCUGAGGGGUUCUGUAAAAUGUAGUGACUACAGUGCUACUUUGUUUCCUAUUUUUGUAAUUAAUACAAAAUAUAAAUGAAAGCAUGAUAUUAUUUAUAAUUUU
Long non-coding RNA from Lycium barbarum (goji berry), 2939 nucleotides. RefSeq lists it as uncharacterized. NCBI's taxonomy places the organism in Eukaryota, Viridiplantae, Streptophyta, Magnoliopsida, Solanales, Solanaceae. The transcript has 3 exons. The record is from RefSeq and is a predicted model, not a curated record.